Molecule: non-coding RNA, 504 nt
Filed under: Pongo abelii (Sumatran orangutan)
Lineage: Eukaryota; Metazoa; Chordata; Mammalia; Primates; Hominidae
Source: RNAcentral
CUGCCAUGAUUCUGAGGCCUCCCCAGCCAUGUGGAACUGGCUCAGUGUGGUCAAAAGAAGACUAUAGAAUCAAGGAUGAAGAGAAGGAACACAAAAUAAAAGGACGUCUCAGCAGGAAGCUCUGUGACUACUAUACGUCUCAUCUUCAGCACUUCUAAACUGUGGGAAACUAUGUGAAAACAAAUGGAGUGGCCAAACACACCAUUCAUCACUGUGCUUCUGGACAGCUGCAAGUCCAUACAUGUUCCAAUGAAGUCUGGCUAUGUUGCCCAGGCUGGAGUGCAAUGGCACAAUCUCGGCUCACUGCAAUCUCUGCCUCCUGGCUUCAUGCAAUUCUCCUGCCUCAGCCUCCCAAGUAGCUGGGAUUACAGACAUGCACCACCACGCCCAGCUAAUUUUUGUAUUUUUACUACAGACAGGGUUUCACUAUGCUAGUUGGGCUGAUCUUGAACUCCUGACCUCAAGUGAUCCACCCACCGCAGCCUCCCAAAGUGCUGGGAUUAC